UACAGAGGUCUCAAGCGUUGUUCGGAUUCAUUGGGCGUAAAGGGUGCGUAGGUGGCGCGCUAAGUCAGGUGUGAAAUUUCGGAGCUCAACUCCGAAACUGCAUUUGAUACUGGCGUGCUUGAGGACUGGAGAGGAGACUGGAAUUCAUGGUGUAGCAGUGAAAUGCGUAGAGAUCAUGAGGAAGACCAGUGGCGAAGGCGGGUCUCUGGACAGUUCCUGACACUGAGACACGAAGGCCAGGGGAGCAAACGGG
RNAcentral lists this ribosomal RNA (253 nucleotides) under uncultured bacterium. RNAcentral's name for it is "partial 16S ribosomal RNA". It matches the Rfam family "Bacterial small subunit ribosomal RNA", at positions 524 to 776 of the family's 1533-position model. The record is from RNAcentral.